ACUCAAAGGAAUAGACGGGGGCCCGCACAAGCGGUGGAGCAUGUGGAUUAAUUCGAUGCAACGCGAAGAACCUUACCAAGGCUUGACAUGGAAGUGACAGGAGCAGAGAUGUUCCCUUCUUCGGACACUUCACACAGGUGGUGCAUGGUUGUCGUCAGCUCGUGUCGUGAGAUGUUGGGUUAAGUCCCGCAACGAGCGCAACCCCUACGUUCAGUAGCCAUCAAGUAGUGUUGGGCACUCUGGACGGACUGCCGUGGAUAACACGGAGGAAGGUGGGGAUGAGGUCAAAUCAUCAUGCCCUUUAUGCCUUGGGCUUCACACGUGCUACAAUGGCCGCCACAAAGUGACGCGAGACCGCGAGGUUAAGCCAACCACAAAAAAGCGGCCACAGUUCGGAUUGCAGGCUGCAACUCGCCUGCAUGAAGCUGGAAUCGCUAGUAAUCGCGGAUCAGAAUGCCGCGGUGAAUACGUUCCCGGGCCUUGUACACACCGCCCGU
Molecule: ribosomal RNA, 497 nt
Filed under: uncultured bacterium
Lineage: Bacteria
Description: bacterial SSU rRNA
Rfam family: Bacterial small subunit ribosomal RNA
Source: RNAcentral